Danio aesculapii is the source of this 287-nucleotide small nucleolar RNA. The record is from RefSeq and is a predicted model, not a curated record. NCBI's taxonomy places the organism in Eukaryota, Metazoa, Chordata, Actinopteri, Cypriniformes, Danionidae.
GCCCAAUGAUGAGACCAAGGCGAAUGCGAGCCCCUGAAUUAGAGUGUGAGCUCUCCUGUGCUUCUAUUGGCUGGUAAUCUUGGCUGGACUGCGAAGGUUUGCUGUCUUGCUGUAAGGGCCUGCCUAUAUUCAACAAGCCCUUUCCUUCGAAAUUUCCUUUUAAAGAAAUGGGGGAAGUGUAAAAGUGAGGGCGUACAUUUAAUGUGUGUGAAGGAUCACAGGUUGAGUCUUGGUUUUCUGCAUUGUUUCUGUCGGCAUUGAGCUCUGUCUUUGGUAAUCUGAGGGCA